This 253-nucleotide ribosomal RNA is filed under the name uncultured bacterium. Its description in RNAcentral is "partial 16S ribosomal RNA". It matches the Rfam family "Bacterial small subunit ribosomal RNA", at positions 524 to 776 of the family's 1533-position model. The record is from RNAcentral.
UACGUAGGAGACGAGCGUUAAUCGGAAUUACUGGGCGUAAAGCGCGCGCAGGCGGCUAUCCAAGUCAGUGGUGAAAGCCCGGAGCUCAACUCCGGAACUGCCAUUGAAACUGGUUAGCUUGAGGACGAGAGAGGUGAGUGGAAUUCCCAGUGUAGAGGUGAAAUUCGUAGAUAUUGGGAAGAACACCGGUGGCGAAGGCGGCUCACUGGCUCGUAUCUGACGCUCAGGCGCGACAGCGUGGGGAUCAAACAGG